GGGGGCCCGCACAAGCGGUGGAGCAUGUGGUUUAAUUCGACGCAACGCGCAGAACCUUACCAGCCCUUGACAUGUCCAGGACCGGUCGCAGAGACGUGACCUUCUCUUCGGAGCCUGGAACACAGGUGCUGCAUGGCUGUCGUCAGCUCGUGUCGUGAGAUGUUGGGUUAAGUCCCGCAACGAGCGCAACCCCCGUCCUUAGUUGCUACCAUUUAGUUGAGCACUCUAAGGAGACUGCCGGUGAUAAGCCGCGAGGAAGGUGGGGAUGACGUCAAGUCCUCAUGGCCCUUACGGGCUGGGCUACACACGUGCUACAAUGGCGGUGACAGUGGGAUGCGAAGACGCAAGUCCUAGCAAAUCUCAAAAAGCCGUCUCAGUUCGGAUUGGGCUCUGCAACUCGAGCCCAUGAAGUUGGAAUCGCUAGUAAUCGUGGAUCAGCACGCCACGGUGAAUACGUUCCCGGGCCUUGUACACACCGCCCGUCACACCAUGGGAGUUGGCUUUACCUGAAGACGGUGCGCUAACCA
This 527-nucleotide ribosomal RNA is filed under the name Bradyrhizobium sp. RNAcentral describes it as "bacterial SSU rRNA". It matches the Rfam family "Bacterial small subunit ribosomal RNA", at positions 915 to 1441 of the family's 1533-position model. Lineage: Bacteria; Pseudomonadati; Pseudomonadota; Alphaproteobacteria; Hyphomicrobiales; Nitrobacteraceae. The record is from RNAcentral.